RNAcentral lists this ribosomal RNA (468 nucleotides) under uncultured bacterium. Its description in RNAcentral is "partial 16S ribosomal RNA". It matches the Rfam family "Bacterial small subunit ribosomal RNA", at positions 28 to 507 of the family's 1533-position model. The record is from RNAcentral.
GACGAACGCUGGCGGCGUGCUUAACACAUGCAAGUCGAACGGAAAGGCCCUGCUUUUGUGGGGUGCUCGAGUGGCGAACGGGUGAGUAACACGUGAGUAACCUGCCCUUGACUUUGGGAUAACUUCAGGAAACUGGGGCUAAUACCGGAUAGGAUCUCCUGCUGCAUGGUGGGGGUUGGAAAGUUUCGGCGGUUGGGGAUGGACUCGCGGCUUAUCAGCUUGUUGGUGGGGUAGUGGCUUACCAAGUCUUUGACGGGUAGCCGGCCUGAGAGCGUGACCGGCCACAAUGGGACUGAGAUACGGCCCAGACGCCUACGGGAGGCAGCAGUGGGGAAUAUUGCACAAUGGGCGGAAGCCUGAUGCAGCAACGCCGCGUGCGGGAUGACGGCCUUCGGGUUGUAAACCGCUUUCGCCUGUGACGAAGCGUGAGUGACGGUAAUGGGUAAAGAAGCACCGGCUAACUACGUG